This 548-nucleotide ribosomal RNA is filed under the name uncultured bacterium. RNAcentral describes it as "partial 16S ribosomal RNA". It matches the Rfam family "Bacterial small subunit ribosomal RNA", at positions 355 to 895 of the family's 1533-position model. The record is from RNAcentral.
UGGGGAAUUUUGGACAAUGGGCGAAAGCCUGAUCCAGCAAUGCCGCGUGUGUGAAGAAGGCCUUCGGGUUGUAAAGCACUUUUGUCCGGAAAGAAAUCCUUGGCUCUAAUACAGUCGGGGGAUGACGGUACCGGAAGAAUAAGCACCGGCUAACUACGUGCCAGCAGCCGCGGUAAUACGUAGGGUGCAAGCGUUAAUCGGAAUUACUGGGGCGUAAAGCGUGCGCAGGCGGUUUGCUAAGACCGAUGUGAAAUCCCCGGGCUCAACCUGGGAACUGCAUUGGUGACUGGCAGGCUAGAGUAUGGCAGAGGGGGGUAGAAUUCCACGUGUAGCAGUGAAAUGCGUAGAGAUGUGGAGGAAUACCGAUGGCGAAGGCAGCCCCCUGGGCCAAAUACUGACGCUCAUGCACGAAAGCGUGGGGAGCAAACAGGAUUAGAUACCCUGGUAGUCCACGCCCUAAACGAUGUCAACUAGUUGUGGGGAUUCAUUUCCUUAGUAACGUAGCUAACGCGUGAAGUUGACCGCCUGGGGAGUACGGUCGCAAGAUU